GUAACGGCGAGUGAAGCGGGAAGAGCUCAAAUUUAAAAUCUGGCGGUGUAUUCCGUCCGAGUUGUAGUCUAGAGAAGCAUCAUCCGUGCUGGACCAUGUACAAGUCUCUUGGAACAGAGCGUCAUAGAGGGUGAGAAUCCCGUCCUUGACAUGGACUCCCAGUACUUAGUGUUGUGCUCUCAACGAGUCGAGUUGUUUGGG
Molecule: ribosomal RNA, 201 nt
Filed under: Ceratobasidium sp.
Lineage: Eukaryota; Fungi; Basidiomycota; Agaricomycetes; Cantharellales; Ceratobasidiaceae
Description: partial large subunit ribosomal RNA
Rfam family: Eukaryotic large subunit ribosomal RNA
Source: RNAcentral